UUGAAGAAGAAAUUAUCAUACCGGCUUUGACAGUGUUAACGUGUUUUAUAAGCUAUUCACAGGUUCAACAAAACAAAUACAAUUGAUAAGAAUAGUCAUUGAAAGAAGCAACAACGACAUCUUCUAAAUACUGACAGACUCUUGACUAGAGAGGUAGAGAGGACAAAAAAAAAAGAAUCUGGCUGGUUUUGUCUUGUUUGUAGAUCAUUUCUUGCCGUUCACUUUUAUAAGUUAAACCAAGCUAUUAUAUAGUUCAUGAUAAUAGCAAAAAAAAAAAAAAAAAAAAAAAAAACACAGCAAAAAUAAAAA
Long non-coding RNA from Mytilus californianus (California mussel), 309 nucleotides. RefSeq lists it as uncharacterized. NCBI's taxonomy places the organism in Eukaryota, Metazoa, Mollusca, Bivalvia, Mytilida, Mytilidae. The record is from RefSeq and is a predicted model, not a curated record. The transcript is spliced from 2 exons.